This 784-nucleotide ribosomal RNA is filed under the name uncultured methanogenic archaeon. RNAcentral describes it as "bacterial SSU rRNA". It matches the Rfam family "Archaeal small subunit ribosomal RNA", at positions 645 to 1429 of the family's 1478-position model. The record is from RNAcentral. Lineage: Archaea; Methanobacteriati; Methanobacteriota.
CUACAGAAUACUCAAGCUGUGGCGAAGGCGUCUUACCAGAACGGGUUCGACGGUGAGGGACGAGAGCUGGGGGCACGAACCGGAUUAGAUACCCGGGUAGUCCCAGCCGUAAACGAUGCUCGCUAGGUGUCAGGCAUGGCGCGACCGUGUCUGGUGCCGCAGGGAAGCCGUGAAGCGAGCCACCUGGGAAGUACGGCCGCAAGGCUGAAACUUAAAGGAAUUGGCGGGGAGCACAACAACGGGUGGAGCCUGCGGUUUAAUUGGACUCAACGCCGGACAACUCACCGGGGGCGACAGCAGAAUGAAGGUCAAGCUGAAGACUUUACCAGACAAGCUGAGAGGAGGUGCAUGGCCGUCGCCAGCUCGUGCCGUGAGGUGUCCUGUUAAGUCAGGUAACGAGCGAGACCCCUGCCUCUAGUUGCUACCAUUAUUCUCAGGAGUAGUGGAGCUAAUUAGAGGGACUGCCGUCGCUGAGACGGAGGAAGGAGGGGGCUACGGCAGGUCAGUAUGCCCCGAAACCCUCGGGCCACACGCGGGCCGCAAUGGUAAGGACAAUGAGUAUCGAUUCCGAAAGGAGGAGGCAAUCUCUAAACCUUACCACAGUUAUGAUUGAGGGCUGAAACUCGCCCUCAUGAAUAUGGAAUCCCUAGUAACCGCGUGUCACUAUCGCGCGGUGAAUACGUCCCUGCUCCUUGCACACACCGCCCGUCGCUUCAUCGAAGUUGGUUCUUGGCGAGGUGAUGCCUAAUUGGUACUAUCGAACCUGGGGUCAGCAACGAGGGAG